This 1244-nucleotide long non-coding RNA is filed under the name Setaria italica (foxtail millet). RNAcentral's name for it is "long non-coding RNA (SITA_LNC007338)". Lineage: Eukaryota; Viridiplantae; Streptophyta; Magnoliopsida; Poales; Poaceae. The record is from RNAcentral.
CAACACACAGCAACGGCGCGGGUCGCGCCAUUUUUGAUUCUUGGCAAGGGGUAAAACCGAGGCGGUAAAAGAUACCGAUCGCCAUGAGGGAGGGGCGUGUCGCUAGAACCGGGCGAGCGCGCGGCGGAGCACCUGGGCGAGGAGGCCGGGGGCGGAGAGGUGCGGGAGGUGGCCCUCGGUCUGGAGGAACUCGACGGUGGUGCGGCCGCCGAGGUGGGCCUUGAGGUAGGCGGCGACGGAGGCCGGGACGGAGACGUCGCGGGUGGUCUGCACCACCACGCAGGGAGAGCGCACCAUGCCCAGCACGCCGCGGAGAUCGGUGUUGAACACCGUGCGGCAGACGUGGAGGGAGAUGUCCGGGCGCAUGUUGAAGAGGGUGCGGCUGAACUCCUGCACCGCCGCGGGCACGUCCGCGCCCACCGCCAGCGGCGCGUACCCCGUCGCCCACGCCGAGUAGUUGGCCGCCAUCGCGGCGAACACCUGCUGGAUCUCCGGCAGCUCGAACCCGCCGUGGUAGUCGUUGUCGUUCAGGAACCUGAUUUUUUCUUCUUUUCCUUCAGUUUCUUUCCCAACUCAUCGAAACCUCGAAAUAAAGGCUUGAUUGAAAUGAAACUGAAUUCGAUCGAUCGGCAUGUAUGUAUACCUGGGCGAUGCGCCGAUGAGGAUGAGCUUGGCGAAGAGCUCGGGGCGUCGGAUGGAUGCGAGGAUGCCGAUCAUGGCGGAGACGGAGUGCCCGACGAAGGCGCAUCGCGGGAUGCGGAGCGCGUCGAGGAUGGCGAGCAGGUCGUCGACGUAGGAGUCGAGCGUGUCGUAGCGUCGGAAGUCGAAGUGCUCCGGGUUGACGCUGCCGGCGCAGACGAGGUCGUAGAGCACCACGCGGUGGUCGCGGGUGAGGUAGGGGAGCACGCGGCUCCACGCCGACUGGUCCGUCCCGAAGCCGUGGGACAGCACCACCACGCGGUCGCCGCUGCCCACCACCCGCACGUUGAGGAUCUGCAGCAGCUUGGCCCCGCUCGGGGCGCCGCUGCCCGCCGCGCCGCCGCCGCCGCCGCCCCCGACCAUCGUGGCGUCGGAGCUGGACGCCGGGGCCGCCGAGCUGCCGCUGGUGGGGCUGGGCGGGUGCGUGGACCGAAGCAUGAGACCGGGGUGGUUGGGGGGACGGGGAUCGGGAAGCAGAGGCGCCCCGGUCUUAUAUAGCAGCAGCAGGAGCAGAGGCCAUGGGGAUGCUCUGUUCACACCUCUCC